ACCCCUCAAGCGUAGCUUGGUAUUGGAUAUCCGCGGGCCCUUUUACAAGGCUUGCGGGUCCGAAAAACAGUGGCGGUCCCCGAGGAUUUCGCGCGUAGUAAAUAUUAUCCCGCGUUGGAAAGAAUCGGUGGGCUUGCCAAAACCCCCCAUAAUCUCCAUAGAUUGACCUCGGAUCAGGUAGGGAUACCCGCUGAACUUAA
RNAcentral lists this unclassified non-coding RNA (200 nucleotides) under soil metagenome. RNAcentral's name for it is "partial contains internal transcribed spacer 2 and large subunit ribosomal RNA". The record is from RNAcentral.